This 446-nucleotide ribosomal RNA is filed under the name uncultured bacterium. RNAcentral describes it as "partial 16S ribosomal RNA". It matches the Rfam family "Bacterial small subunit ribosomal RNA", at positions 354 to 796 of the family's 1533-position model. The record is from RNAcentral.
GUAGGGAAUAUUGGACAAUGGGGGGAACCCUGAUCCAGCCAUGCCGCGUGGAGGAAGACUGCCCUCUGGGUUGUAAACUCCUUUUAUAUGGGAAGAACCGUCCUCAUUAAUGAGUGACCUGACGGUACCAUAGGAAUAAGCACCGGCUAACUCCGUGCCAGCAGCCGCGGUAAUACGGAGGGUGCAAGCGUUAUCCGGAUUCACUGGGUUUAAAGGGUGCGUAGGCGGCUAAAUAAGUCAGUGGUGAAAUCAACGGGCUCAACCUGUUAACUGCCAUUGAUACUGUGUAUCUUGAAUAUGAGAGAGGUAGGCGGAAUGUUGCAUGUAGCGGUGAAAUGCUUAGAUAUGCUACGGAACACCGAUUGCGAAGGCAGCUUACUAUUUCGUAAUUGACGCUGAGGCGCGAAAGUGUGGGGAGCAAACAGGAUUAGAUACCCUAGUAGUCC